Molecule: ribosomal RNA, 476 nt
Filed under: Acrobeloides sp. Sourhope farm
Lineage: Eukaryota; Metazoa; Nematoda; Chromadorea; Rhabditida; Cephalobidae
Description: SSU rRNA
Rfam family: Eukaryotic small subunit ribosomal RNA
Source: RNAcentral
GCCAUGCAUGUCUAAGUAUAAACGAUUUAAUCGUGAAACCGCGAAUGGCUCAUUAUAACAGCUAUAAUUUACUUGAUCUUGACACAAUCCUACUUGGAUAACUGUGGUAAUUCUAGAGCUAAUACAUGCAUUAAAGCUCUGACCUCACGGGAAGAGUGCAUUUAUUAGAACAAAACCAAGCGGCUUCGGCUGUUUCUGGUUGACUCAUAGUAACUGAGCUGAUCGCAUGGUCUUGCACCGGCGACGUGUCUUUCAAGUAUCUGCCGUAUCAACUUUCGAUGGUAGUGUAUCUGACUACCAUGGUGAUCACGCGUAACGGAGAAUAAGGGUUCGGCUCCGGAGAGUUCGCCUGAGAAAUCGCGAACACAUCUAAGGAAGGCAGCAGGCGCGAAAAUUACCCACUCUCAGCACGAGGAGGUAGUGACGAAAAAUAACGAGACCGUUCUCUUAUGAGGCCGGUCAUCGGAAUGGGUACA